AACGAACGCUGGCGGCAGGCUUAACACAUGCAAGUCGAACGCCCCGCAAGGGGAGUGGCAGACGGGUGAGUAACGCGUGGGAAUCUACCCAUCCCUACGGAAUAACGCAUGGAAACGUGUGCUAAUACCGUAUACGCCCUACGGGGGAAAGAUUUAUCGGGGAUGGAUGAGCCCGCGUUGGAUUAGCUAGUUGGUGGGGUAAAGGCCUACCAAGGCGACGAUCCAUAGCUGGUCUGAGAGGAUGAUCAGCCACAUUGGGACUGAGACACGGCCCAAACUCCUACGGGAAGCAGCAGUGGGGAAUAUUGGACAAUGGGCGCAAGCCUGAUCCAGCCAUGCCGCGUGAGUGAUGAAGGCCUUAGGGUUGUAAAGCUCUUUCACCGGAGAAGAUAAUGACGGUAUCCGGAGAAGAAGCCCCGGCUAACUUCGUG
RNAcentral lists this ribosomal RNA (431 nucleotides) under uncultured bacterium. RNAcentral describes it as "partial 16S ribosomal RNA". It matches the Rfam family "Bacterial small subunit ribosomal RNA", at positions 29 to 507 of the family's 1533-position model. The record is from RNAcentral.